Molecule: ribosomal RNA, 244 nt
Filed under: uncultured Staphylococcus sp.
Lineage: Bacteria; Bacillati; Bacillota; Bacilli; Caryophanales; Staphylococcaceae
Description: partial 16S ribosomal RNA
Rfam family: Bacterial small subunit ribosomal RNA
Source: RNAcentral
CGGCGGACGGGUGAGUAACACGUGGGUAACCUACCUAUAAGACUGGGAUAACUUCGGGAAACCGGAGCUAAUACCGGAUAAUAUAUUGAACCGCAUGGUUCAAUAGUGAAAGACGGUUUUGCUGUCACUUAUAGAUGGAUCCGCGCCGCAUUAGCUAGUUGGUAAGGUAACGGCUUACCAAGGCAACGAUGCGUAGCCGACCUGAGAGGGUGAUCGGCCACACUGGAACUGAGACACGGUCCAG